CCUACGGGUGGCAGCAGUGGGGAAUAUUGCACAAUGGGGGAAACCCUGAUGCAGCGACGCCGCGUGAGUGAAGAAGUAAUUCGGUAUGUAAAGCUCUGUCAGUAGGGAAGAAAGAAAUGACGGUACCUGACCAAGAAGCCCCGGCUAACUACGUGCCAGCAGCCGCGGUAAUACGUAGGGGGCAAGCGUUAUCCGGAUUUACUGGGUGUAAAGGGAGCGUAGACGGCAGUGCAAGUCUGGAGUGAAAGGCGGGGGCUCAACCCCCGGACUGCUCUGGAAACUGUACGGCUGGAGUGCAGGAGAGGUAGGUGGAAUUCCGAGUGUAGCGGUGAAAUGCGUAGAUAUUAGGAGGAACGCCAGUGGCGAAGGCGGCUUACUAGACUGUAACUGACGUUGAGGCUCGAAAGCGUGGGGAGCAAACAGGAUUAGAUACCCGAGUAGUC
This 443-nucleotide ribosomal RNA is filed under the name uncultured bacterium. RNAcentral's name for it is "partial 16S ribosomal RNA". It matches the Rfam family "Bacterial small subunit ribosomal RNA", at positions 338 to 795 of the family's 1533-position model. The record is from RNAcentral.